Molecule: long non-coding RNA, 226 nt
Filed under: Helianthus annuus (common sunflower)
Lineage: Eukaryota; Viridiplantae; Streptophyta; Magnoliopsida; Asterales; Asteraceae
Description: hypothetical non coding rna
Source: RNAcentral
UGGUCUAGAUUGUUUAGACUGAUUCAAAGCGUUUGAAACUACUUUUGGCGGUUAUGUCACGGCUCCCGACCCUACCCUGGACGGAGCCGGGGGCCGUGGCGCAGAGUUCAAUGGUACCCGUGGUUAAGACAAGUUUUUUACCAGUUCAAGCCUGUUUGUUCCUGGUUUAAAGGAAUCAACUAGCAUUUCUUCUUGAAGAAGAAAGGAACCUACUUGCAACUCGUCU